Molecule: unclassified non-coding RNA, 513 nt
Filed under: Hevea brasiliensis (rubber tree)
Lineage: Eukaryota; Viridiplantae; Streptophyta; Magnoliopsida; Malpighiales; Euphorbiaceae
Source: RNAcentral
GAUUAAUCCAAAAGCUUCAUUACAGUGUGCAUGAGAGAAGGGAAUGUUGAUCAAAUUUCAGAGCAACUCUUUUCCAUGGACAAAUGCAGACAUACAAGUUUCAACCAUUCAACAGAAAUUUCAUGGAUCACAUUCCAACCUAGAUUAUAACGUAGUACUAUUUAACAUGCAAUAUACUCCUUUCAUGAAUGGGAAUGUUGAUUUCGACGAGAUCAAACAACUCUAUAUGGAAUUAGUCUAGAGAAACUAAAACCAACAAGAAAGGAGAAACAGCAGACAUCUAGUACCAGGCAGAAGAUGACAAGGACAAAUUCUUUUUUAUUUGAAAGAGAAAAGGAAGGGAGAGGGUACUCAAAAUAAAAUUUAAAAAAUACAUGCAAAACACAUAACGUAUCAUAAUUGGCCGUUUUUCCUACACUGGGCAGCCAAAAAGAACAAUAGUAAAAUAAUGAGAUCAAGUCUAAUCUGGAGGUCUCAGGUUUGGACCAAUAGGAUUAAGUCUUAAGGUUUUUU